CCUACGGGAAGCUGCAGUGGGGAAUAUUGGGCAAUGGGCGCAAGCCUGACCCAGCAACGCCGCGUGAAGGAAGAAGGCUCUCGGGUUGUAAACUUCUUUUUUCAGGGAAGAGUAGAAGACGGUACCUGACGAAUAAGCCAUGGCUAACUACGUGCCAGCAGCCGCGGUAAUACGUAGGUGCCAGGCGUUGUCCGGAUUUACUGGGUGUAAAGGGCGUGUAGCCGGGUUGACAAGUCAGAUGUGAAAGCCUGCGGCUUAACCGCAGAACUGCAUUGGAAACUGUUGAUCUUGAGUACUGGAGAGGUAGACGGAAUUCCUAGUGUAGCGGUGAAAUGCGUAGAUAUUAGGAGGAACACCAGUGGCGAAGGCAGUCUGCUGGACAGCAACUGACGGUGAGGCGCGAAAGCGUGGGGAGCGAACAGGAUUAGAUACCCCAGUAGUC
This 442-nucleotide ribosomal RNA is filed under the name uncultured bacterium. RNAcentral's name for it is "partial 16S ribosomal RNA". It matches the Rfam family "Bacterial small subunit ribosomal RNA", at positions 338 to 795 of the family's 1533-position model. The record is from RNAcentral.